GCAAAAGAAUAUUCUUCAAGUCAUUGAUGAAACCAUGCGGUUGGCUUCUUCAUUGUCUGAACCCCAAAAUAGCUCGUGUUCCCAUUUUCCUCACACGCAAACGAGGACGGAGCAGAAUUCACAACACCUCGUAUUCCCAAAUCUUGGAUUAUAACUUUGAAAUCUGAAUCUUGAUUUGAAACUCACGAAAUUAGAGAGAAUAUGAAUACGAUGACAGCUACCAUGACAACCUCUGCAACAACGACAACAACGGUCUCUGUCGGGUCAUCUUCAUUUUUCACUAAUUAUCCACUUAUGUCUGCUCUUAUUGCCUUUGCUCUUGCCCAAUCCACCAAGCUCUUCACUUCAUGGUACAAGGAAAGACGAUGGGAUCUUAAGCAACUUGUUGGAUCUGGUGGAAUGCCAUCAUCCCAUUCAUCAACUGUAACUGCUCUAGCUGUGGCUGUUGGUUUGCAGGAGGGCUUUGGGGGAGCACUCUUUGCUUGUGCAUUAGUUUUAGCGUGUGUGGUCAUGUAUGAUGCCACGGGUGUAAGAUUACAUGCUGGACGUCAGGCAGAGGUCCUGAAUCAAAUUUUGUACGAACUUCCUUCUGAACAUCCUCUUGCAGAUAGCAGACCAUUACGAGAACUCCUUGGUCACACUCCUCCUCAGGUUGUAGCCGGUGGAUUAUUGGGAUUGACGACUGCAACGGCUAUUCAUUUUAUCACAGGCUCAGGACAUCAAGCAUGACAUUAAAGAAGCGGUUGCUUACAAUGUUACAGUUUGUGAAAUAUGAUAUAUGUGAUAUCAGGCCAAAAGUUGCAGAUAUCUCAUUUCACCUCUGAAUUGUGCUGGAUGGUAUUGACUGCAGAGAUGUACUAAUAUUUCAGAUACCUCAUUGCCUCCUAACAGGUUCAGAAUUGCUAAUAUUCAUUUAGAAGUUUAUACACUUUAUACAUAAUGUAGAUAAUUAUUAGCUACAAUGAACUGCAACCUGUAAGUUAAGCUGCACACUUUUCAGAAAAUUAGUUACAGUGUGUUAAAUGUUUUUCUGUAUUACCUCAAUUACUCACAACUU
Molecule: RNA transcript, 1057 nt
Organism: Solanum verrucosum
Lineage: Eukaryota; Viridiplantae; Streptophyta; Magnoliopsida; Solanales; Solanaceae
Exons: 5
Source: RefSeq, a predicted model, not a curated record